Acanthosepion pharaonis is the source of this 112-nucleotide non-coding RNA. The record is from the annotation of a GenBank genome assembly. NCBI's taxonomy places the organism in Eukaryota, Metazoa, Mollusca, Cephalopoda, Sepiida, Sepiidae.
AACGGCCAUAUCACGUCGAAACACUAGUUCUCGUCUGAUUACCAAAAUUAAGCAACUCAGAGCUUGGUCAGUACUUAGAUGGGUGAUCGCUUGAGAAUAACUUGUGCUGUAU